AACAUUAGGGAAAUGGUCUGGCUCAUCCUUAUCCAGAAAUGGUUGUACGCGUCUGAGUAUAUUCCCAUACUUCUCAUCAAAACUAAUUGCAGUUCCUCACUGCUCAUUACUACUGAUGACUGCUUAAGAUUGCUAAUUACCGUUAAAACAACAACACUGACGGCCAGUCUCAUUGUCUCCAGGCCGGUGUGGUGUCUGUCUCUGGUGGCGUUGUCGCUGUAAUCAAGAUUAGUUCACUAGAAAUAAGAGACACCCGCUAUCAUGUCCUGGUCUUGCAAGAAGUGUGAUUGUGAAAGGACUGACAGACACUUGUGAACAUGAACUCGGUGGAUAACAAUUAAAAGUCUUUAUUCAUUUGAAAGUCGCGACCUGUUCACUUCUUGUCGUUUAAUCAUUCAGAGACCAAAUUAGCAACAGAAUCAAAAUCGUCUCCUGAGGAGAGUAGAAGGUAACUGUGAGAAAAAUGACAAAGUCACACGAGAAUGUGUUUUAUUAUUUGGGUAACCAACUGGGCAGGUCACGUGAGGUUCGUCAUUCUCAGAUCUUGGAGACAUGUUGACAGCUGCUCUGGCAAAAUAACGGUUUGAAGGGAGGUCUGUACACGACUUAGUAUGACACAGUCUGUGUGUGAAUUCAUAAACAAAUACAA
Pomacea canaliculata is the source of this 649-nucleotide long non-coding RNA. RefSeq lists it as uncharacterized. The record is from RefSeq and is a predicted model, not a curated record. NCBI's taxonomy places the organism in Eukaryota, Metazoa, Mollusca, Gastropoda, Architaenioglossa, Ampullariidae. The transcript has 2 exons.